Molecule: RNA transcript, 942 nt
Organism: Nycticebus coucang (slow loris)
Lineage: Eukaryota; Metazoa; Chordata; Mammalia; Primates; Lorisidae
Gene name: DNA polymerase epsilon subunit 3-like
Exons: 1
Source: RefSeq, a predicted model, not a curated record
GAUAAAAGAAUCAUAAUUAGCUAUGAAAAGCACAGAGCAGAACUAUAUCACCCACAAUAAAUCAAAAGGCCUCAGUACAGCCCACACCACAAACACCUGGUACUAAUAAGGAUAUUUAAUCUUGCACAACUUUGUAGUUAUAAUUCAGAACCUUAUGUCCUGACCAUCCCAUUCAUAUUCUAGUUAUACUUCAUCUUUAAACUGAAGAGAUUUUGUAUAAACAAUAUAUAGCUGAGGCUAUCUACCACCAAGCAGCUUUUUAAAAUGAGGAAAACAGCUUUUAAGAAUUAAAAAAAAGAGGGCCCGGGCGACGGCAAUGGUGAAGAGGCCCGGGGACCUAAACCUGCCCAACGCCGUCAUCACCAGGAUCAUCAAGGAGGCGCUCCCGGACGGGGUCAACAUCUCCAAGGAGGCCCGGAGCGCCAUCUCCCGCGCCGCCAGCGUCUUCGUGCUGUAUGCCACGUCCUGUGCCAACAAUUUUGCAAUGAAAGGGAAGCGCAAGACUUUGAAUGCCAGUGAUGUGCUCUCCGCCAUGGAAGAGAUGGAGUUCCAGCGAUUCGUUACCCCGUUAAAAGCAGCUCUGGAAGCACAUAGGCGGGAGCAGAAGGGCAAGAAGGAAGCUUCAGAACAAAAGGACAAAGACAAAAAAAACAGAUUCAGAAGAGCAAGACAAGAGCAGGGAUGAGGACAACGAUGAAGAUGAUGAAAGGAUGAAAGAAGAAGGACAAAAUGAAGAGGAAGUGGACAACUGAAUAGGGUGGGCGACUGUGGCACCUUGGAAGGUACCAUUCUGAGACUUGCUACAUGUUUCUCUGAAGGUUUUCCCUGCGGGGGCAGAGUAGUCUUAGGCAGAAGUGCCUUAGAAGAUGAAAAUAAAAAAUGACUAGAAUUGUCACCAAAACCAGCACUUCCCAAACUCAAAGCAUCUGAGUAGCAGAAUCC